This 316-nucleotide unclassified non-coding RNA is filed under the name uncultured Thelephoraceae. RNAcentral describes it as "sequence contains ITS2". The record is from RNAcentral. Lineage: Eukaryota; Fungi; Basidiomycota; Agaricomycetes; Thelephorales; Thelephoraceae.
AACGCACCUUGCGCCCUUUGGCUAUUCUGAAGGGCAUGCCUGUUUGAGUAUCAUGAACACCUCAACUCUCAUGGGUCUGCCCAUGAUGAGCUUGGACUUUGGAGGUCUUGCUGGCCAAGUGUCGGCUCCUCUCAAACGGAUCAGCUUGCCAGUGUCUGGUGGCAUCACGGGUGUGAUAACUAUCUACGCUUGUGGUUUUCCGCCAUGUAACCUUCAGUGAUGGGGGUUCGCUGGAGCUCACAGAUGUCUCUCCUUGGUGAGGACAGCUUUUUGAACGUUUGAUCUCAAAUCAGGUAGGACUACCCGCUGAACUUAA